UACAGAGGGUGCGAGCGUUAAUCGGAAUUACUGGGCGUAAAGCGCACGUAGUCGGCUUUGCAAGUCGGUUGUGAAAUCCCCGGGCUUAACUCGGAAAGGUCAACUGAUACUGUGCGACUAGAGUGCGGAAGGGGCAACUGGAAUUCUCGGUGUAGCGGUGAAAUGCGUAGAUAUCGAGAGGAACACCUGCGGCGAAGGCAGCUGGCUACGCGAAUAUUGACACUGAUGCACGAAAGCGUGGGGAUCAAACAGG
This 253-nucleotide ribosomal RNA is filed under the name uncultured bacterium. RNAcentral describes it as "partial 16S ribosomal RNA". It matches the Rfam family "Bacterial small subunit ribosomal RNA", at positions 524 to 776 of the family's 1533-position model. The record is from RNAcentral.